Molecule: ribosomal RNA, 466 nt
Filed under: uncultured bacterium
Lineage: Bacteria
Description: partial 16S ribosomal RNA
Rfam family: Bacterial small subunit ribosomal RNA
Source: RNAcentral
GAUGAACGCUGGCGGCGUGCUUAACACAUGCAAGUCGAACGAUGAAGCCCAGCUUGCUGGGUGGAUUAGUGGCGAACGGGUGAGUAACACGUGAGUAACCUGCCCUUAACUCUGGGAUAAGCCUGGGAAACUGGGUCUAAUACCGGAUAGGAGCGUCCACCGCAUGGGGGGUGUUGGAAAGAUUUAUCGGUUUUGGAUGGACUCGCGGCCUAUCAGCUUGUUGGUGAGGUAAUGGCUCACCAAGGCGACGACGGGUAGCCGGCCUGAGAGGGUGACCGGCCACACUGGGACUGAGACACGGCCCAGACUCCUACGGGGGGCAGCAGUGGGGAAUAUUGCACAAUGGGCGCAAGCCUGAUGCAGCGACGCCGCGUGAGGGAUGACGGCCUUCGGGUUGUAAACCUCUUUCAGUAGGGAAGAAGCGAAAGUGACGGUACCUGCAGAAGAAGCACCGGCUAACUACGUG